This 1023-nucleotide long non-coding RNA is filed under the name Olea europaea subsp. europaea. The record is from RNAcentral. Lineage: Eukaryota; Viridiplantae; Streptophyta; Magnoliopsida; Lamiales; Oleaceae.
CCUCUAUGUCUUUCAGAAAAUAUUAUAAAAUUUCAAUUUAUAAAAGAAUAGAACCCCAAAAGGUGAAUCAGAUAUUCAGAUUACAAGAAAAAUAGAAACCUUCACCCUCUGCCUUCCAUCUCCGUUGCUGUCGCUCCUUGCAGAAGAAUCGGAUUACAAACUACUGAAAUGCUGCCAUUCACGCCUCUACCCAUUAAUCCAUUCUUCACUCCGGAUUCUUCUCUCUUUUUUAUUCUAUACGAUAGUAUCUGGUCUGGUGGUUCAUAUCUGUUGGGUUAAGGAGCUUCUGCAAUCAAGGGAGGAGGAUGUCGUAUCAGAUAUGAUAUUGACAGAUUACUCUGAUUGGAAAUGGAUGAGAAGAUAGGAAGAAAGUUUUUGAAUGUUUUGAAGAUUGUUGAGGAAGCGUUUUCUGUACAUGAGCAUUGAGGGAGCUCAUUAAGCUUAUCAAGGUUCUUAUCUUAUCUUUCUCAGUUUCCUCUUCCUUGUUUCCUUCUAACAAUGACCAAAUUUUAUUUUUUAUGAAUAGAUCUACAAGGAACCGUGAAGCUAUUGCAAUGUCUUUCCUUGUAGCAAAUGCAAUUGGUGCUCAUAUCAACGACCAUUGACUUUCUGCUGCCAUUCAUAUUAGCAUCAUUUGCUGCAAAUUUUCACUUUCACGGCUUCUCAAUACUUCGUUUCUCUGAAGUUAAUGUCAGCAUUCUUCGGCCAAAUCUAUAAGGACCGACUAGAAGAGAAUAGGGAUCUGUUAUCUGUCAGUCAAAGUACAUAGGCAUUUUGUUCUUGAGACUAGUUGGAGAUUUAAAUUGUGCAAUUGGGACUUUGUCUUCUCAAAUUUCUAUAGGCAGUAAGUAGUGAUUGUUCAUUCUUUUUUUUCCUUUUUUUUUUUUUUUUGGUUGUAUGUUAUAUUAUCUCUGGAAGAGGUGAUUAACUAGGAUCAAUGAAUCUGUAUCAAAUCUAAUUUUUGGACUGGUAAAUGAAUGGGCUGCUUGCUUCUUGGAUGAUCUUGAUUGUUUAGUGAGGGAG